This 498-nucleotide ribosomal RNA is filed under the name uncultured bacterium. Its description in RNAcentral is "partial 16S ribosomal RNA". It matches the Rfam family "Bacterial small subunit ribosomal RNA", at positions 28 to 507 of the family's 1533-position model. The record is from RNAcentral.
GACGAACGCUGGCGGCGUGCCUAAUACAUGCAAGUCGAACGAGAGCGACCGGUGCUUGCACUGGUCAAUCUAGUGGCGAACGGGUGAGUAACACGUGGGUAACCUGCUCAUCAGAGGGGGAUAACAUCCGGAAACGGAUGCUAAAACCGCAUAGGUCUUCGAGCCGCAUGGCUUGAAGAGGAAAAGAGGCGCAAGCUUCUGCUGAUGGAUGGACCCGCGGUGCAUUAGCUAGUUGGUGAGGUAACGGCUCACCAAGGCCGUGAUGCAUAGCCGACCUGAGAGGGUGAUCGGCCACAUUGGGACUGAGACACGGCCCAAACUCCUACGGGAGGCAGCAGUAGGGAAUCUUCCGCAAUGGACGCAAGUCUGACGGAGCAACGCCGCGUGAGUGAAGAAGGUUUUCGGAUCGUAAAACUCUGUUGUUAGAGAAGAACAAGUGCUAGAGUAACUGUUAGCGCCUUGACGGUAGCUAACCAGAAAGCCACGGCUAACUACGUG